GUGGGGAAUUUUGGACAAUGGGCGCAAGCCUGAUCCAGCAAUGCCGCGUGCAGGAAGAAGGCCUUCGGGUUGUAAACUGCUUUUGUCAGGGAAGAAAUCUUCUGGGCUAAUACCCCGGGAGGAUGACGGUACCUGAAGAAUAAGCACCGGCUAACUACGUGCCAGCAGCCGCGGUAAUACGUAGGGUGCGAGCGUUAAUCGGAAUUACUGGGCGUAAAGCGUGCGCAGGCGGCUUUGCAAGACAGAUGUGAAAUCCCCGGGCUCAACCUGGGAACUGCAUGUGUGACUGCAAGGCUAGAGUACGGCAGAGGGGGAUGGAAUUCCGCGUGUAGCAGUGAAAUGCGUAGAUAUGCGGAGGAACACCAAUGGCGAAGGCAAUCCCCUGGGCCUGUACUGACGCUCAUGCACGAAAGCGUGGGGAGCAAACAGGAUUAGAAACCCGGGUAGUCC
Molecule: ribosomal RNA, 450 nt
Filed under: uncultured bacterium
Lineage: Bacteria
Description: partial 16S ribosomal RNA
Rfam family: Bacterial small subunit ribosomal RNA
Source: RNAcentral